Molecule: unclassified non-coding RNA, 502 nt
Filed under: Candida tropicalis
Lineage: Eukaryota; Fungi; Ascomycota; Pichiomycetes; Serinales; Debaryomycetaceae
Description: ITS1
Rfam family: 5.8S ribosomal RNA (bases 139-292)
Source: RNAcentral
ACUGAUUGCUUAUUGCACCACAUGUGUUUUUUAUUGAACAAAUUUCUUUGGUGGCGGGAGCAAUCCUACCGCCAGAGGUUAUAACUAAACCAAACUUUUUAUUUACAGUCAAACUUGAUUUAUUAUUACAAUAGUCAAAACUUUCAACAACGGAUCUCUUGGUUCUCGCAUCGAUGAAGAACGCAGCGAAAUGCGAUACGUAAUAUGAAUUGCAGAUAUUCGUGAAUCAUCGAAUCUUUGAACGCACAUUGCGCCCUUUGGUAUUCCAAAGGGCAUGCCUGUUUGAGCGUCAUUUCUCCCUCAAACCCCCGGGUUUGGUGUUGAGCAAUACGCUAGGUUUGUUUGAAAGAAUUUAACGGGAAAACUUAUUUUAAGCGACUUAGGUUUAUCCAAAACCCUUAUUUUGCUAGGGGCCCCCCCAAUUUAUUUCAAAACUUUAACCCCAAAUCAGGAAGGACUACCCCCUAAACUUAACCAUAUCAAAAGCGGGGAAAAAAAAAGG